AGACUGCCGGUGACAAACCGGAGGAAGGUGGGGAUGACGUCAAGUCAUCAUGGCCCUUACGGCCAGGGCUACACACGUGCUACAAUGGUCGGUACAAAGGGUUGCCAAGCCGCGAGGUGGAGCUAAUCCCAUAAAACCAAUCGUAGUCCGGAUCGCAGUCUGCAACUCGACUGCGUGAAGUCGGAAUCGCUAGUAAUCGUGAAUCAGAAUGUCACGGUGAAUACGUUCCCGGGCCUU
Molecule: ribosomal RNA, 237 nt
Filed under: uncultured Pseudomonas sp.
Lineage: Bacteria; Pseudomonadati; Pseudomonadota; Gammaproteobacteria; Pseudomonadales; Pseudomonadaceae
Description: partial 16S ribosomal RNA
Rfam family: Bacterial small subunit ribosomal RNA
Source: RNAcentral